UUCAGCAAAAACAGUGACCAAUUUAUUCUAUUCGUAUAAAAACCAUGUUGAAUUCUAAAGUAGGUACUUACAAUUCAGUCCCUUUUACUGCAAUCGUGUUCUACAGUUGAUUUGAAGAAAAUCAAAAAUGAUGAGCUGCAAAAUUUUCGGACUCUUCGUGUUCAUUGCAACAAUUUUGUUAAUGGCACCAACAACCUUGGCCCAGUGUAUUGCCAACAGGAACGGUUGUCAACCUGACGGAAGUCAAGGAACCUGUUGCUCUGGUAAUUGCUAUAAGGAAGCAGGAUGGGUCGCUGGAUACUGCAGAUAAUUCGAAUGCGAAUUUUCCAAAAAAUCCUUCUUCAAAAAUGUAUUUUUCAAAAUUGUAACAUUCGUCUUUAGUCUCGUGUGGUAUUUUUUGAAAGUACCAUUCCUUUGACUAAAUUUAAAAUCCAAAUAUUAUUUUCAAAAAUUUAAAGAUGUAAUCAAAUGUUGAACAUUAAUAAAUUGUUAUUUCAAUUGA
Long non-coding RNA from Leptopilina heterotoma, 502 nucleotides. RefSeq lists it as uncharacterized. The record is from RefSeq and is a predicted model, not a curated record. NCBI's taxonomy places the organism in Eukaryota, Metazoa, Arthropoda, Insecta, Hymenoptera, Figitidae. The transcript is spliced from 2 exons.